CUGACACACUAUGAGGAGUGGGAGAGGAAGAUCGAAGCGUGGCAGAAUCCCAUCCUGGAGGACAGCCAGCUGCCUUCCUGGUACAAGUCAGCCCUGUUCAAUGAGCUCUACUUCCUGACGGAUGGAGGGACCAUCUGGAUGGAGGUGCUCCCUGAUUGCCGUGCCGAGGAGCUGCAGGGGCCGGCAGGGGCGGAGCUGUCCCACCUCCUCCCUGUCCUGCGGGAGUACGGAAGGUUUGCUUAUUUGGAAGGCCAGGAGUACCGGAUGUACAACACCUACGAUGUCCAUUUCUACACCUCCUUCGCUCUCAUCAUGCUGUGGCCCAAGCUGCAGAUCAG
Long non-coding RNA from Melozone crissalis (California towhee), 338 nucleotides. RefSeq lists it as uncharacterized. The transcript is spliced from 3 exons. Lineage: Eukaryota; Metazoa; Chordata; Aves; Passeriformes; Passerellidae. The record is from RefSeq and is a predicted model, not a curated record.